AUGAACGCUGGCGGCGUGCCUAAUACAUGCAAGUCGAGCGAACAGACGAGGAGCUUGCUCCUCUGACGUUAGCGGCGGACGGGUGAGUAACACGUGGAUAACCUACCUAUAAGACUGGGAUAACUUCGGGAAACCGGAGCUAAUACCGGAUAAUAUAUUGAACCGCAUGGUUCAAUAGUGAAAGACGGGUUUGCUGUCACUUAUAGAUGGAUCCGCGCCGCAUUAGCUAGUUGGUAAGGUAACGGCUUACCAAGGCAACGAUGCGUAGCCGACCUGAGAGGGUGAUCGGCCACACUGGAACUGAGACACGGUCCAGACUCCUACGGGAGGCAGCAGUAGGGAAUCUUCCGCAAUGGGCGAAAGCUUGACGGAGCAACGCCGCGUGAGUGAUGAAGGUCUUCGGAUCGUAAAACUCUGUUAUUAGGGAAGAACAAAUGUGUAAGUAACUAUGCACGUCUUGACGGUACCUAAUCAGAAAGCCACGGCUAACUACGUG
RNAcentral lists this ribosomal RNA (496 nucleotides) under uncultured bacterium. RNAcentral describes it as "partial 16S ribosomal RNA". It matches the Rfam family "Bacterial small subunit ribosomal RNA", at positions 29 to 507 of the family's 1533-position model. The record is from RNAcentral.